AGAACGAACGUUGGCGGCAUGCCUAACACAUGCAAGUCGAACGAAGGCUUCGGCCUUAGUGGCGCACGGGUGCGUAACGCGUGGGAAUCUGCCCCUUGGUUCGGAAUAACAGUUAGAAAUGACUGCUAAUACCGGAUGAUGACUUCGGUCCAAAGAUUUAUCGCCGAGGGAUGAGCCCGCGUAGGAUUAGGUAGUUGGUGGGGUAAAGGCCUACCAAGCCGACGAUCCUUAGCUGGUCUGAGAGGAUGAUCAGCCACACUGGGACUGAGACACGGCCCAGACUCCUACGGGAGGCAGCAGUGGGGAAUAUUGGACAAUGGGGGAAACCCUGAUCCAGCAAUGCCGCGUGAGUGAUGAAGGCCUUAGGGUUGUAAAGCUCUUUUACCAGGGAUGAUAAUGACAGUACCUGGAGAAUAAGCUCCGGCUAACUCCGUGCCAGCAGCCGCGGUAAUACGGAGGGAGCUAGCGUUGUUCGGAAUUACUGGGCGUAAAGCGCACGUAGGCGGCUACUCAAGUCAGAGGUGAAAGCCCGGGGCUGAACCCCGGAACUGCCUUUGAAACUAAGUAGCUAGAAUAUUGGAGAGGCGAGUGGAAUUCCGAGUGUAGAGGUGAAAUUCGUAGAUAUUCGGAAGAACACCAGUGGCGAAGGCGACUCGCUGGACAGUUAUUGACGCCUGAGGUGUCGAAAGCGUGGGGGACAAACAGGAUUAGAUACCCUGGCUGGUCCACGCCGUAAACGAUGAUAACUAGCUGUCCGGGCACUUGGUGUCUGGGUGGCGCAGCUAACGCAUUAAGUUAUCCGCCUGGGGAGUACGGUCGCAAGAUUAAAACUCAAAGGAAUUGACGGGGGCCUGCACAAGCGGUGGAGCAUGUGGUUUAAUUCGAAGCAACGCGCAGAACCUUACCAGCGUUUGACAUCCCGCGCUAACCCAAGAGAUUGGGUGUUCCCUUCGGGGGCGCGGUUGACAGGUGCUGCAUGGCU
RNAcentral lists this ribosomal RNA (982 nucleotides) under uncultured bacterium. RNAcentral's name for it is "bacterial SSU rRNA". It matches the Rfam family "Bacterial small subunit ribosomal RNA", at positions 26 to 1050 of the family's 1533-position model. The record is from RNAcentral.